AUAACUCUCAUUUUUUAUUUUAAUUUUUUUUGUUCUGGACAUUUCUUUCAGUCGUUCUAUUCAAUUGUGUACUGGUUAUUUUCUUGGCCUAUUGUGAAGCUGUUAUUCUGAGGCUUUUUCUUUUUCUGUCAUCAAGAGAAUUCUGUUUGAUGUUCUUCUAUGUUGAAUCUCCUUGUUUUCGUUUUGGAACUUGUGUCUUCCUUUUUCUGGGUUUAUUCCCUUAUUUUGAUAGUGAAUACCCUCAAGUAAACUUCUAAGAAAACUACAGAUUUGGAGCUUCAAAUGCCUUGGUGAAGUUUCUAAGAACUUGGAUGUCUAAAAAGAACAGGGCAGGAAAUUAUCCAACUUGCAAGAGAAUGCUAGCUGAAAAUCGUCCCAUCUUAUGGAAAACCGGUAGAAAAUCCAGGAGGUGAAAUGGAGAACAUGUUCAACUGGAGAAUUCUAUUUCUUAUGCAUGUCAAAUAUGUUUCCUUCUCCUGCACUAGCUGUUCCUUCUGCUGGAAGAAUAUUUAUAUGACUGGCUAAACUUACUGUUCAGAUCUGAGAGUAAAUUUGCAUUUCUCAGAGAGUUAGUUCCUGACCACCCAACUCAAAGUACUAACACUCUAUCUAGUCCUUUUCUUGUUUGUUUUUCAUGUUUAUUUUAUUUCCCACCACUAGAAUCUAAGCUUUUUGAGAGCCGGCACUUUGUCCAUCUGGGUCACUGAAUCCCAAUGAGUUAUUCACAGAUGUUUUUAGUACAUAGUAGGUGAAAUGCAUAGAUAAUAUUUCAACUAAGAAAGUGAACAGAAGAAAGUUGGUCAUUGACUUAUUACUAGUAGCUCACUACUCUCUAUGUAUGAAGACAUCACUUACUGAUGGUUAUGAAGCAGAUGCUCAAUAAUUUUUUUUUAAUAAACAGGAGGGCAAGGAGCCAAUGUCGUUUGUAGUGGAGGGUAGUCAUGGACACUGAGAGUAUGUUUUAGACACAAUUUAUCAAUGGCCAGCCUCAGGCUGAGAUAAAAUAUAACAGAGUUUGCCAAGGUCUUUCAUGCCCAGGCAGUCAGUGCUCACAUGUUCCCUGUAACUGCCUGGGUACCUUUCCCUGAGUCAUCAGUCCUGUGUCUUAAUUCUUUUAGUAGCACCUGCAUUCUGCUCCUUUAACCUUCCAUCAAUCAGCUCUUAUAUACUGUACAUCUCUUUCUCAAGAAGCCUUGUGCAACGCAUGGUGAUUUCAACAGUGAUGAAUAUUUCCUUCCCUCUGACUUCUUAUGAAACCAGGAUAAUGAAGCAAAUUAGAAUGUAUUUUAACAUCACUCUCCCUUGUUUGCUGUCCAGCUAAUGAACAGUGGACUGGCUGAAGAAAGACCAGCAUGAAGCAGAAAAAUUGUUUGGUGAAAAAUUCAAGAAUGGGCCAAUAUCCAUUAAAAGAUUGAAAGAGGAGAUGUUUUGGGUCCACCUCCACUGGGGACAGAAAUUCCAUUCUGCCAACACCCCCUCCAUAUCCAUUGUCUGAAAGAGGCACUGCUGUUGAGUCAUAAGUAGGCUCCAGUGGCCCAUGUUGACCCUUUGAAAUUCCCAUGGGACUGUCAAUUCUAUCUAUUCUGGGAGCAGCCAACCAUAGCUAAUUACAGGCCUGUGGUAUUAGUGGAACAAGCUUCAGCUUUUUACAUUGGCUUGAUGGAGAACUGAGUAGAUAUAAAAGUGUUACAUGUUUUUCUGUAAUCAUAAUAACGUAAUCUUGUUUCAUAAUCAUUAAUAAUUCCUAACAUUUAUUGAAGAGUUAAUAUGUGUUGAGUAUUUUUGUAAGUGCUUAACAUGCAGUUUUUAAAAUUUUAACUCCUUUUUACAGAAAAGGUUUACAGAACGCCAGAGGGGUAGGUGAUUUUGCCAGAGCUCUUUUAGGUAAUAGGAAACAAAGCCAUAAAUUUGAUCCCAGCUAGUUUGACCCCAUAGUCCAAGCAUUAAUCCCUGAACCACACUAGCUCUGGCAAGGGUAUAAAUGAGCAGUGAUUACUAACUGACUUAAAACACAAUAGGAAUUAUCCCCAGUGAAUUCCAACAUAUAAAGGGACACUAAUUCUUGCCAUAGAAAAUCUAUUUGAUAAGUAUGAACAAGAAUUCCAAGGUUAUCAAAAAUAAUUUCUAAUAGUUUAAUUCUUUAAAAGAAAUGGUGUAUCUCAUGGACACAGGAAGGGGAACAUCACACUCCGGGGACUGUUGUUGGGUGGGGGGAGCGGGGAGGGAGAGCAUUAGGAGAUAUACCUAAUGCUAAAUGACAAGUUAAUGGGUGCAGCACACCAACGUGGCACAUGUAUACAUAUGUAACAAACCUGCACAUUGUGCAAAU
Molecule: long non-coding RNA, 2329 nt
Filed under: Homo sapiens (human)
Lineage: Eukaryota; Metazoa; Chordata; Mammalia; Primates; Hominidae
Description: HSALNT0139818
Source: RNAcentral